This is a long non-coding RNA of Phragmites australis (common reed), 440 nucleotides long. RefSeq lists it as uncharacterized. NCBI's taxonomy places the organism in Eukaryota, Viridiplantae, Streptophyta, Magnoliopsida, Poales, Poaceae. The record is from RefSeq and is a predicted model, not a curated record. The transcript is spliced from 2 exons.
UCUGUGCUCCGCCUCCUCCUCCGUCUCGUCUUGUGCUUGUCCCUCUCCCUUGCCGCUACGUCCCACAAGAAGUUGCAGAGACUCCGACGGCUCCACCACCUCCCAGGGUCCAACACCGCCACCGCCCAUCCUCCACCACCAUCGCCGCCCCCAGGGAGUUUAGAAGCAGGCUUGUUUGCAAGUACGCCAUCGGCGGCAAGCACGGCAGCGACGAGGGCCACAACGGGUGGGUCUCCUGCGUCAGGUUCUCCCCCAACACCUUGCUGCCCACCAUUGGCUCCGGCUCCUGGGACCGCACCGUCAAUGUCUAGAACCUUACCUAUUGCAAGCUCCAAUAUUUUGUAUUAUUUAGCAAUUACGGAUUGGUGUCUGCUAAUGCUUAGAUGCCGCUAUCAAGUCACGGCUAGAGGUCUCACUACUAUGAGCUAUGUUUUGACAGA